RNAcentral lists this non-coding RNA (148 nucleotides) under Homo sapiens (human). The record is from Rfam by way of RNAcentral. Lineage: Eukaryota; Metazoa; Chordata; Mammalia; Primates; Hominidae.
GCUGGGUGUGGUGGUGCGCGCCUAUAGUCCCAGCUACUUGGGAGGCUGAGACAGGAGAAUCACUUGAACCCAGGAGGCAGAGAUUGCAGUGAGCCAAGAUUGUGCCACUGCACUCCAGCCUGGGUGACAGAGUGAGAGUUUGUCUCAA